RNAcentral lists this ribosomal RNA (511 nucleotides) under bacterium enrichment culture clone ALO1_GLFRUDD03GDPXQ. Its description in RNAcentral is "bacterial SSU rRNA". It matches the Rfam family "Bacterial small subunit ribosomal RNA", at positions 9 to 517 of the family's 1533-position model. The record is from RNAcentral.
GAGUUUGAUCGUGGCUCAGAUUGAACGCUGGCGGCAGGCCUAACACAUGCAAGUCGAGCGGUAGAGAGAAGCUUGCUUCUCUUGAGAGCGGCGGACGGGUGAGUAAUGCCUAGGAAUCUGCCUGGUAGUGGGGGAUAACGUUCGGAAACGGACGCUAAUACCGCAUACGUCCUGCGGGAGAAAGCAGGGGACCUUCGGGCCUUGCGCUAUCAGAUGAGCCUAGGUCGGAUUAGCUAGUUGGUGGGGUAAUGGCUCACCAAGGCGACGAUCCGUAACUGGUCUGAGAGGAUGAUCAGUCACACUGGAACUGAGACACGGUCCAGACUCCUACGGGAGGCAGCAGUGGGGAAUAUUGGACAAUGGGCGAAAGCCUGAUCCAGCCAUGCCGCGUGUGUGAAGAAGGUCUUCGGAUUGUAAAGCACUUUAAGUUGGGAGGAAGGGCAGUAAGUUAAUACCUUGCUGUUUUGACGUUACGACAGAUAAGCACCGGCUAACUCUGUGCCAGCCGCCG